CGCCUGUUUAACAAAAACAUGUCCUUUUGAAUAUAUUUAAGGUCUAACCUGCCCAAUGAGGAUUUAAAUGGCCGCAGUAUUUUGACUGUGCAAAGGUAGCAUAAUUAUUAGUUUUUUAAUUGAAAGCUUGUAUGAAGGGUUGGACGAGAUAAAAUCUGUCUCUAUUUAAUUUAAUGUAGAAUUUAACUUUUAAGUCAAAAGGCUUAAAUGCUUAUAAAAGACGAGAAGACCCUAUAGAUCUUUAUUUAGUAAAAAUUCUAAUUAUUUAGGAUUACUUUAGUUUAGAGUUUUUAUUAAAUUUUAUUGGGGUAAUAUAAAGAUUAAUUAAAUUCUUUUUAUUAAUUACAUUGAUUUAUGAAUUUGUGAUCCAGUAUUAUUGAUUAUAAGAUUAAGUUACCUUAGGGAUAACAGCGUAAUUUUUUUGGAGAGCUCAUAUCGAUAAAAAAGUUUGCGA
RNAcentral lists this ribosomal RNA (454 nucleotides) under Lophyra fuliginosa. RNAcentral's name for it is "partial 16S ribosomal RNA". It matches the Rfam family "Bacterial large subunit ribosomal RNA", at positions 1797 to 2523 of the family's 2925-position model. Lineage: Eukaryota; Metazoa; Arthropoda; Insecta; Coleoptera; Carabidae. The record is from RNAcentral.